AUAAUUUGAGGUUUUACACAAGAUUUCACAUGUGGUUACUCUGCCUGCUGCUCAUCAGUCUAUUUGUUUCAGUGAUUUCUGCACACCACUGAGCAAUCACAUUCCCACCCUAAGGGAUAAGUGCGUGACAGACUGGACGUCUCUGGCAGCAUACCUGGGCUUGAAUCAAGUUUUCAAAUUAUUUUUUUUUCUCGUGUUGCCAUCCAAGGCACGGUCAGAACUGAGGGCAAACUCCAGUUCGGAGGUGAGCAAGGAAAGCCCUUCUGAAACUGCCAGGAGCUGAAACAAUUUGGCAAGCGUUGCAGAAGAAAACUGCCAGCAUGGAAUGACGAGAUGGGAGCAUUACUUCAACAGAAGAAGCUCUGAUUAGCAGAUUAUCGCUUAAGUGAUGUUGAUCCCAGCCACGCUGCCUUCCAAAUGAGCCCUUUCACAGCUGCCAGCUGCACCACGGAGUCAUGCAUGUAAAUAAGUGGGCCAGAUCCUUUGCUGGCAUCGGUUGAGGCAGCUCUGAUGGACCAUCGUGGAGUUACAGCAGCUGGAGAAGUCUGGCUAUGUCAGGGAGUUUGACGUGCCUCACAAACUUCUUUGGGAGCUGAUGGGAAGGAGAGCCUGAAACAGAGCUGCCUGCAUGUUGCAGGAUGGGACAGCUUCUCCUGGUCCAACAGCACCAAAAGCACAGCUGGAGGGACCCUCUAAACCUUAAUUUAGUCUAUUUGCUACCUGACAAGCUCUUCUUUAUACUUUGUGCUAUCUGAUAUAUCCAUGCAGAGCCGGAAGAUUGGACGCUGGAUUUAAGGGAGACCCCUGCCUGUCUGGAGAGGAGGCCUGGCAGGUCCCUUGAGGCAUUGCAAUUGUAGUAAUCUCUGUUCAAAGUGCUGAGUCCCACUAGUACUGGAAUAUUGGUCCUCCAGUGAGAUGGCAGCUGUUUGUAGCAGAGUGGUCUAGAUGAUCAGAGUUACAGAAGAAGCCAGUACUGUAUCCCAUUAAUAUAAACACGGAGUCACAAAAAAUUUUGAAUUGUAUUGGCAGCCCAAUCCUAUUGUCUGAACUCAGGCCAUUUUGGGCAGCAAAGAAAGGAAAACAACAAAUGCUAUGCAUCACUGGGGAAGAAGCCCUGCCAAAGAACUGCAUCCACAGGGAUCAUGGCAGAAAGAGAGACCCAAAGCAACAUCUUCCAUGUGGCAGUAGCUCGAUUCAAUGGGUAACGUUAAAUGAAAGGCAUGCAUUUCAUCGGUCUCCUGUUGAUGUCAAUCUUGUGUACUGAGAUCAAAAAUUGACCUUUCUAAACUGAAAUGUUUCCCUCCAGGAAGUUUAAAUAUUUUGACUUUGUUCCAGUUUGAGAGGAAAACAAACAUCCAAAUAUCAGAGUCUUCUUGUGCAAGAGCAAUGUCAUUGCCCCAUGUGCUGUGCCGUUGUAUUUAUUACUUUGUUCAUUGCAUCUGAUUUUUAUUUUUUUUUUUCCAGUGGAAAGUUUUAAAUGGAAAUGAUUGAGGUUGGUUUUGAAGACUGGCACAAGGCUGAACAUACUUCUCUGGGAUUUCUUCUCUUCCCCUCCUCCUUUUCCAAGUAAAGUGAUAAAUUGAAUCAUAUAUAGAUUCCACAAGCACAAUUCUAGACUUCAUGUGCACAUGAGCAUGCAUUUGUAUGCAGUCAUGCACAUGCAUUGGCAAGAAAAUAAUGAAGACAAACAAAACAUCCUCUAUGCCAAACAGUGGCAGUAGAGAAAAGGGAAUAGUGAAUAAUCUAAUAACACCAUGCCAGAAAUGUGAGGGAAAAAUACCUAAAAAAGGAAAAGGGAGAGCUGAUUGCUGCAUGCCCAACUCUCAGAGAGAAACAGAUCAUUAGCUGAGAGGUAGGAGACUUCCUGGAGUACAGUAAAUAAUAUAGUAAUUGUCCAACAUGACAACAAUAUUUAUCUUCUUAAUUUCAGCCAUUUAAAAAUACAUUUCUAGGAUGUCUCAGAUGCUUAUCUUUGUGUGGGAUUGAAAGCCAAUAUAGUCUUCUUUCUUGAAUGACUCUAGAGGGAACCUAGAGGUUUACUUUAAACUAGACAACUCAAUUUUACAUGGCUAAAGUUAGGUGAAAUUGAUCCCUUUCUUUUCCUAUCCAUCCCCUGCUGCUGCUCAGACUCCAGUUGAAGACACUGUAUACUCAUUAACUCCAAGAGAGUUUCUAGUGUGCUAGUGAGCUAAUAAAGGAAGGAAUUUAUGAUUUCAGAAAAAGGAUAAACAUCAAGAUCCUUGCUCCCAACAAAUAGCCUUGGAAAAGAAAAAAAUAGAAAAAAAAAAAAAGAGAAAAAACAGAAGGCAGGCUGGAGGGGGGGGGGGGAUGCUACUUAGGCAGAAGUCUUGAAAUAGAAAGUUGGUCCAACAUUGCUGUGAGAUGUCAGCAAUUUUUAACUGAGCUUUGCCUGGAGAUAUUCAACUGGUUGGAACUAAUCCAUUUCCAGAAGAGGUGAAUCAGUGUCUAGCAAUUCGCUAAGACAGUUGCCCAAGUGCUGUUUGCUGAAAAUCUGCAUUUCAUUGCCUUCAUGAGGGUAGAGUCCACUGGCACGCACAAGUGCAUCCAAGGAGGCAGCCCCAAGGUCUCGUUUGAGCUGCCACAGCAUUCCUGAAGGUGGAAAAGAAGACAUUAUGUUGGUUAACAGCAUUAAAGGCAACAAGGACCAGAUUACUCAGAGGAGAAGAUGGAGAAAGAAAUGAAGGAGAGAUGGAGAAGGGAGUGAACGGGAUCCUGUGCAGAUCCUGAGCUCAUCUGAAAACACAGCGUAGACCUAAGUACAUCAAUGAAAUCUAAGCUUCCUGUGAAAGGCAAUUGGAUCUCCUGGGCAGCUAGAAGAGAAAAGUAAACAGUCUGUGGAAAAUUGGGACUCCAAAUACUCCAGUGUAUGAGCAACCUCACUGGUUUUAGUAUUUCAUUGAGUAUUUGGCUCACUGGAGGAUCACAGCUGAUGCCAACUCCAGUGAGCAGAUUUUUUUUUUUUUUUUGGGGAAGGCAGCAAGAGGUUUGGACAGGUAACUCAGGACAGAUAAUCUCAAAGAGGCACAUUUGUCAAUGCACUUUGAGGAUAUUAAGCUGCAAGGAGAGAAAAAUUUGAUAUAAAUUGCUCAGCAAAAGGAAAAAAAGAGUCAAAGUCUCCAUAAGAUUGAGCUUUGGAAACUGAUAUUUAAAGACAGGUGCAAAGAAACUUUCAGUUUUCUCUUCUGAAUGUUGAGCAAACUCAGAUCAUUCAGUGACUGACUCUCUGAUCAUGUAAUUUUCUUUCUCCUUUGUACGCAAGUCCCUUGAACUGCAUAACCUGAAACUGAACAUGACAAUUCAGCUGAGGUGUGAGGUGGUUCUCACCAGCCCAAGGCAGUGUUAUCCUGUGUACCAGAAGAAAAAUACCAUGAACUCUCUAACUCUCUGCAGGCUGAAGCUAGAACUGAAUCCAUCCAGUGAUGUGCAGGUUUUCUUUCUGAAAUUGUCAAACUGGCACUGAACUCAUGAUUCUGCACAAUUCCUGGCAUCUUCCAGAAGAAACACAAGGAACUUCUGCUCUAACCCAAGCCAUUGAAUAUGUAAAAAUAUUUUGAAUAUCCAUCUGCUGCAAUAAUAAGGCUCAUAUACAUCACGCAACAUUGGUUUUGCCUUAUAUAGCUUGCUGCCAAUGUGAAUAAAGAAAUAUUCUCAACAUUUGGUAGCAGCCAAGCUAUUACAGGAACAAGGAACAUGAAUGGAACUGAAAUGAGGUAGAUAAGACUGAAUGCAGGGGCACAAAGAGAUACAGAGACAUGACAAGGAUUUACAUCUGGGUCUGCUGAGCUGGAGGCCGGACUCUUCUGCACCCUCCUCUGCAGGGAUCAAGAAUGUACUUAAAGUCAGAUAAAUAACUCUCCAUUAUGUUAGUAAAAUGAGAUGUGAAGCAGCUGGCAGAAACUGACCAAAAUUUAUUUCGCCUGAUGAUUAAAUACAAGAAUUACUUAACCAAAUUCAGAUAAUGUGGCUGUUAUUUCUGAUGUAUAGAUCUCCAUAAGUCUUAUCCAAACAAAGAGCUAGGGGCUAUAUCUCUCCCAGAUGUCAGCCGAAUGCUCUCAAACCCCUGCUUUAGAUGUAGGAAGUUAUUCAUUGGUUACUUUGUGACUCAAUAUUACCUAGACUGGAACAAAACUGCACCACUCACUCAAAAUUGCCUUCUGACUUCCAACCUAAGUUUAUGCUGGGUCAAUCUUUAACCUCUCUUCCUGUGCCAAUAAUGACUUUCAGCAUAAAUGAAUAACUUCUUUCCUGGUGGGAGUUCUGUCCUGUAUUUGUAUUCCCACUCAGUGUUCACUUUGCUGGGCUAAGCAUGAUGUGUUAGCACGCCUUUUUUUUUUUUUUUUUUUUUUGUUCUUGUGUCCUUGUCUCCUGGUUGUGCACUCAGUUUGCAUACUAUUUUGCUCUGGGGUGGCUAAUCAGUUAUUUGGCUGGGUCACUGCACCCUGAGAUUCAAACCAUGCCCCUUGGUAUGGAAACAAUAGGGCAUUCAUUCAUGUGCACUCAAAGAUAAUAUAUUCAUAGCUUUAAUCACCCCUGACAAAACAAACCAUCCCUGCCCACGGUCAUCCCAGGAGCUUUCCAUGCUGCUAUUUUUAUAUCCAUUCAUCUUUCCUGAUUGUGGGUUGGUAGGGCUGGGAAAGUAAGUAGGGCAAGAGGUUCAUAGCCAGAGCUGUCCAAGUAGCUGUGCACCCUGAUCUGGCUGCAGAAACUUCCCUAAAAGUCAGUGCAGAAUGAUUCAUCCUAUCCUAAUACAGGUAUUUAUGACAGAUCAGGUGAUUUGCUUCAUAAGGAGACCUUUCUUUUGGCACUGAUGCUAAGCAAUGGCUACAAAAUUCAUUUGAAAGGCAGGUCUGAUGGGGCUUUGAGCAACCCAAUCUGGGGAGGUGUCCAUGCCCAUAGCAGAUGGGAUAGAACUAGAUAAUCUUUAAAGUAGGUCCCUUCCAUCCCAUACCAUUUUAUGAUUCUGUGAUUCUAUGAUUCCAAGAAAGGUAUAUGAACAGUGAUUAGCUCAAGUGUAGUCACCAUGAUAAAAUAUAUAUAUAUAAAAAAUACAUAUAUAUUUACUCAGAAAAAUAAUUUCUGAAAUCUCAUGAACUACAAGGAAAAUAGCUGAAGAUGAGGGACAGAUCACAUUUCACUACUCUAUUAAAUCCACUACUUCUACAGUGUAAUUUCUUUCACUUAUGUUCCUGAAGCAACCCUGCAGAACAUCUCCUACUCUGGUUUCCCUGGGCUGUGCUCUACCAACAAAUCCUGACCAACCUAUGGCAUUGCAGAAUAAGAGCAAGGCUAUUCCAAGUCAAAGAAAGAAAGGAAAUGAGUCUCCUUUAGUAAGACUGCAUGCUGAAAGUGAUCCCAUGAAAAGAUAACCCUUAAUCCCUACAGCUGCCCAGAGCUAAAAGUCAUUUCUUACUGUUCUAGUUCUAUUCUCAGGGGAUAAAAGCUGUUCUUUUCAAUGGAAGAGGCAUCUUAGACUAAGCAGAUUUAGUCUGAAAUGACUUCUCACACACAGGAAGGAAGGUUUUUUCCUUCACAAGUUCAAGUAUGCCACGAAAGCUGGGAAAGAAAUUGCAUCACUACUGAUUGUGCUGUGCUUGUACACAGACAGCAACAGAGACCUGAAUUUUCCUAGGCUGUCCGUGCAGUGGUUAUCUACAAGACAGGGAACUGUUGCAGCCCAGGAGGCCUUGCUAGGUACUGUACCACUUAUAGACUCACACAACUAGAAAUUUUCUAAGUUACAUGUAUUUCAUGGGGAAGAUUGGGGGGAAAAUAGGAAAUUCCUUAAAGGAUAUAAUGGUUUUAUAGCAUCAGUUAAAGAAGAAGAGAACAAAGGUUGAACAGUUUGGAGGGACAUAGGAUAUAUUUCCAGGAGAAGUCUUGGCCAAAAAGAGGUGGUUGAGAAAGAUAGGUAGACACUGCUCACGUGUGGGAGGGUUACCCUUAGCUGCUUUUUGUACCUUGUUGUAUCAGUAUUUUUCACUUUAAAUCCUUGAUCUAUUUGUGGUCAGAAUUAUAUUUUUGUCUGGCUUUUCACUUCUUUUAUGUGGCUGUAUAUCAAGUAGUGUCUCACACCUUGACGUCAAUUGUCUAUCAGCACUUGUGCUGAGGUUGCGCAGUCCUGCUGCACCAAACUUGUAAAAAUUUGGCUCAAAGCCAACCAAAUCCCCAACACCAAAAGCUACAAUGCUCGCAGUUCCUAGUAUUUGUAUUUAUUUCAGUGGUUUGAGGGCAUCCCAUGAAACAAUCAGGGCACUACUGUGAAUAAUCAUGCUGACUACAGUGCGUGCAUGCAAAGAUCUGUUUACCUAAGUUGGAUAUCCAAGCUUUACAUAUUUAAUUUAAAGUUCAUAACCUUGGUUUCCUUCAUAAUGAAAGAAGGGAAAUAGGCAUCUUCAGAAGUGGAUUAACUUGAUUUGUCUUAGAUAGCUCUCUUAAGACUGGACAAAUUUUCUUUUAGAUUUUUGAGCUUAAGAGAGUCUAAUCCUUCUUUAAUCAUUUAAUCUAAAUGAAACAUUUAGGUUCCCCUGGUAGAAAAGAGGAAAAGAUCAGGAAGGAGAUUCAUGUUAUUUUAAGAGUGAGGGUUAAGGCAGGUGGGAUAAAACUACUGAAGCAAAUGUUUUCUUUUCCCACUGUUUUAGAAAGAGACCAGCUAACAAGGCAGGGUAAAUGUUUAUAUGGCUAAGAUUGGAUGGAAGGAUUGUUUCCCAGCUUAUCUGUACUCUCUGGCUAGGAUGCCAUACUAUCUCUCUCAAAAUGGUGCAUGAAGGUGCCUGUUAUCGAACUAUUCCUGGUGCGUGUGUGACAGCCCCUUAAAGCAAUGUGAGAUAAAGACACAGCACACACAUAGAGAAGACUUUUGUCCUUAGGUAAAUCAAUUCCAUUUCAUUUACUCCUGGAGUACAAGAUAGUUCUUCUGUACUUUACCUGAAGAAAAGGGGCUGAAAUGCUCUAAUUCCAGUAGGUCAGUGUCUUCUCCUUUAAGGUUUAUGCAUAAGUGCCUAACAGAUACAUGUAUCCAGGCUGAUGAUGUGCAUAAUUAAAUGAAGGAUUGAGCUAUGAGUAUAAAUAUUUUUUUUUCCAGAAGCACCUG
Molecule: long non-coding RNA, 7111 nt
Organism: Anas platyrhynchos (mallard)
Lineage: Eukaryota; Metazoa; Chordata; Aves; Anseriformes; Anatidae
Source: RefSeq, a predicted model, not a curated record